CCUACGGGUGGCAGCAGUGAGGAAUAUUGGUCAAUGGCCGAGAGGCUGAACCAGCCAAGUCGCGUGAGGGAAGACGGUCCUACAGGUUGUCAACCUCUUUUGUCGGGGAGCAACGCGAACCACGUGUGGUUCAUUGAGAGUACCCGACGAAAAAGCAUCGGCUAACUCCGUGCCAGCAGCCGCGGUAAUACGGAGGAUGCGAGCGUUACCCGGAUUUAUUGGGUUUAAAGGGUGCGCAGGCGGAGGUGCAAGUCCGCGGUCAAAUUGCGGGGCUCAACCCCGUACUGCCGUUGAACCUGCAUCCCUUGAGUGCGCGAGAAGUAUGCGGAAUGCGUGGUGUAGCGGUGAAAUGCAUAGAUAUCACGCAGAACUCCGAUUGCGAAGGCAGCAUACCGGCGCGCAACUGACGCUCAUGCACGAAAGCGUGGGUAUCGAACAGGAUUAGAUACCCCAGUAGUC
This 459-nucleotide ribosomal RNA is filed under the name uncultured bacterium. RNAcentral's name for it is "partial 16S ribosomal RNA". It matches the Rfam family "Bacterial small subunit ribosomal RNA", at positions 338 to 795 of the family's 1533-position model. The record is from RNAcentral.